GUUCACUGCCGCCUCUCGCUUUCGCCGUCUAGGGUUUCCCCCCGUUCCGAAGCCAUGUCUCUGCGACCGAGCGAGAGGACGGAGGUCCGGCGGAACCGGUACAAGGUCGCCGUAGAUGCCGACGACGGCCGUCGGCGGCGGGAGGACAACAUGAUCGAGAUCCGCAAGAGCAAGCGGGAGGAAAGCCUUCAGAAGAAGCGCCGCGAGGGGAUGCCGUCUCAGAACUCUAUCCUCUCGCUCCAGUCCUCCGUCAUCGAGAAGAAGUUGGAAACGCUUCCGGCGAUGGUGGCGGGGGUUUACACCGAUGAUAACACCAUGCAACUCGAAGCGACAACUCAGUUCAGGAAAUUGUUAUCUAUAGAGCGGAGUCCUCCGAUUGAAGAGGUGAUCCAAGCCGGCGUGGUUCCUCGAUUAGUGGAAUUCCUGAUGAGAAGUGAUUUCCCUCAAUUGCAGUUUGAGGCUGCAUGGGCUCUCACGAACAUUGCAUCCGGGACUUCGGAGAACACCAAGGUGGUCAUCGACCAUGGCGCUGUUCCUAUUUUCGUGCAGCUUCUCCAGGCGAUGAGCGAUGAUGUUCGCGAGCAGGCUGUUUGGGCUCUUGGA
RNAcentral lists this unclassified non-coding RNA (603 nucleotides) under Hevea brasiliensis (rubber tree). The record is from RNAcentral. Lineage: Eukaryota; Viridiplantae; Streptophyta; Magnoliopsida; Malpighiales; Euphorbiaceae.